Oncorhynchus keta (chum salmon) is the source of this 877-nucleotide long non-coding RNA. RefSeq lists it as uncharacterized. The record is from RefSeq and is a predicted model, not a curated record. The transcript has 3 exons. NCBI's taxonomy places the organism in Eukaryota, Metazoa, Chordata, Actinopteri, Salmoniformes, Salmonidae.
UAGCAGGCUAACAAAUUAGUUUCCUUAAGGCGUGAAGCUCAAUCAACCACCCAGCUUCUCAGUGGGUCAAUCAUAACCAGCUAUCUGAGUGGUUUGGAAUGAGACAAGCAAUAAGAUCAGAGAAGGAAAAGGUAGAGGAGAAAGAAUGAAGGUGUGGAUGAAAAGGUAGAGGAGAAAGAAUGAAGGUGUGGAUGAAAAGGUAGAGGAGAAAGAAUGAAGGUGUGGAUGAAAAGGUAGAGGAGAAAGAAUGAAGGUGUGGAUGAAAAGGUAGAGGAGAAAGAAUGAAGGUGUGGAUGAAAAGGUAGAGGAGAAAGAAUGAAGGUGUGGAUGAAAAGGUAGAGGAGAAAGAAUGAAGGUGUGGAUGAAAAGGUAGAGGAGAAAGAAUGAAGGUGUGGAUGAAAAGGUAGAGGAGAAAGAAUGAAGGUGUGGAUGAAAAGGUAGAGGAGAAAGAAUGAAGGUGUGGAUGAAAAGGUAGAGGAGAAAGAAUGAAGGUGUGGAUGAAAAGGUAGAGGAGAAAGAAUGAAGGUGUGGAUGAAAAGGUAGAGGAGAAAGAAGGAAGGUGUGGAUGAAAAGGUAGAGGAGGAAGAAGGAAGGUGUGGAUGAAAAGGUAGAGGAGAAAGAAUGAAGGUGUGGAUGAAAAGGUAGAGGAGAAAGAAGGAAGGUGUGGAUGAAAAGGUAGAGGAGGAAGAAGGAAGGUGUGGAUGAAAAGGUAGAGGAGGAAGAAGGAAGGUGUGGACAGCAUGGAAUUUGUAGAGAUAAAUAGGCUGGUGUGUUGUGUGUGUUAUCCAAACACAAAAGUGCAAGUGAGCGCACUGACACACACACACACACACACACACACACCUCUAUCCCUACACGACACAGUACAACAAAGCAG